Molecule: ribosomal RNA, 408 nt
Filed under: Amblyomma maculatum (Gulf Coast tick)
Lineage: Eukaryota; Metazoa; Arthropoda; Arachnida; Ixodida; Ixodidae
Description: partial small subunit ribosomal RNA
Source: RNAcentral
AGUAUUUUGACUAUACAAAGGUAUUGAAAUAAGACUUUAAUUGAGUGCUAAGAGAAUGGAAUUUCAUAAAAUUUCUUUUUUAAUUUUAAAAAUUGAAAUUAAUUUUAUAUGUGAAGAAACAAUAAUAAAAAUUAAGGACAAGAAGACCCUAAGAAUUUUAAAAAUUUCAAAAAAAUACUGUAUUUUAUUGAAAUUUUUUAAUUGGGGCGAUUAUUAAAUAUUAAAAACUUUAAUUUUUUUAAAAAAGAACCAAUAAUAUUGGUUAUUUGAAAAAAUACUCUAGGGAUAACAGCGUAAUAAUUUUUGAUAGUUCUUAUAGACAAAAUAGUUUGCGACCUCGAUGUUGGAUUAGGAUUCUUUUUUAAUGAAGAAGUUAAAAAAAGAAGUUUGUUCAACUUUUAAAAUCCU